GAUGAACGCUGGCGGCGUGCUUAACACAUGCAAGUCGAGCGGGCAAUUUAUCUAGCACUGAUUACUUCAAAUGGCUAUCGCCAGUGUAAUCAUGAAUUUCUACCUUAUAAUAAAGAAAAAGAAAUUCAUGUACGCAAAUAGUGAUAACACAUGAAAGAGGAGUGAUGAGUGCUGGAUAAAUUGCUAGCGGCGGACGGGUGCGUAACACGUGGGUAACCUGCCCCUAUCACUGGGAUAACACACUGAAAAGUGUGCUAAUACCCAGAUAACAUAAGCUUUUGGCAUCAUUAGCUUAUCAAAGAAUUUCGGAUAGGGAUGGGCCCGCGUCUGAUUAGCUUGUUGGUGAGGUAAUGGCUCACCAAGGCAACGAUCAGUAGCCGACCUGAGAGGGUGAUCGGCCACACUGGAACUGAGACACGGUCCAGACUCCUACGGGAGGCAGCAGUGGGGAAUAUUGCACAAU
RNAcentral lists this ribosomal RNA (463 nucleotides) under uncultured bacterium. RNAcentral describes it as "bacterial SSU rRNA". It matches the Rfam family "Bacterial small subunit ribosomal RNA", at positions 28 to 372 of the family's 1533-position model. The record is from RNAcentral.